Molecule: long non-coding RNA, 362 nt
Organism: Bombus impatiens (common eastern bumble bee)
Lineage: Eukaryota; Metazoa; Arthropoda; Insecta; Hymenoptera; Apidae
Exons: 2
Source: RefSeq, a predicted model, not a curated record
AGAAGCCAUCUCCAACCAAAGGUUGGCAUUAUUACCAAUGCUAUUGCCACUUCAAAACAAGCUCCAAGUGCCCAAAAACACUAUAAAAAAUAAUUACUUCAUAUGAGCAAUGUAAAUGUUUACAUGAAAUUUAUUUAUGAGGAGAAAUUCUGCAUACAAUGUUACUCUGAAAUAAUAACUGAUGUUAUUCAUAUCUGCCCUAAGAACAUUAAUACUUUUAUUUAUAGGACUUACCAAAUACUUACGAUUGUGGUACACAACCAAUAGCAAAACCAACUAAUCCCCUAAGUAAUAAAAUCCACAGAAAAUUUGGUGCAAAAGCACUUAAAAGAGCAUAAUAAAGUAGCAAUAUUGCACAUAAA